This is a long non-coding RNA of Mesocricetus auratus (golden hamster), 429 nucleotides long. RefSeq lists it as uncharacterized. The record is from RefSeq and is a predicted model, not a curated record. NCBI's taxonomy places the organism in Eukaryota, Metazoa, Chordata, Mammalia, Rodentia, Cricetidae. The transcript has 2 exons.
GUGGGCGCUGGGAUUCAAACCAGGGUCUUCUGGAGAAGCAGACUGGAUUACUGACUCACACAGUAAUCUCAAACUCUUGUCUCUAGCCUCUGGAAUUUAACACUUGAAGAUUCACUGGAUCAUUUGCUCCUAAAGUUCGCUGAGCACCAGCUGCAAACCCAGGUUCACAUUUGGUUUCAGUCCUCAUCCUCCAUCAACUAGUAACCUGGAAAUUUUCCUGAGAAUCACUCCGCUGCUGUUUACAAACUUUCUGAAAAGAGGCGAGUUGAUUUCUCCUGAAUACCAAACCUCUGCUCUGAACCUGCCACUUGGCGGGCAUUCAAUAAUCAGAGCUCCCGCUCCCUCUACAAAUCAGCCUCAUCUAUGAUAUAAAAUUGCCUUGGCACAUUACCGAAUCAGACAGUUAAAAUAAAAACUCCAGACAUUGAA